Fusarium sp. DS 682 is the source of this 81-nucleotide non-coding RNA. The record is from the annotation of a GenBank genome assembly. NCBI's taxonomy places the organism in Eukaryota, Fungi, Ascomycota, Sordariomycetes, Hypocreales, Nectriaceae.
UCUUCCGUAGUAUAGUGGUCAGUAUGCAAUCUUGUCAAGUACAGUUCGCUUGAGACCCGGGUUCAAUUCCCGGCGGGAGAG